RNAcentral lists this small RNA (696 nucleotides) under Pan troglodytes (chimpanzee). Its description in RNAcentral is "retained intron". Lineage: Eukaryota; Metazoa; Chordata; Mammalia; Primates; Hominidae. The record is from RNAcentral.
CUUUGCUCUGUGGAUAUACCAUGAAACCUGCAUUCUUAUUUUUCAAAGACGGGGAAAUAAAUAGCUUGUGUACGAUGGGGCAGUCCUGGGCUGUUGACUUGUGUUUUUGUCUAUUUUAGGCCAGAACACAAAGCGUGAAUCCGGAAGAAAAGUUCAAUCUGGAAACAUCAAUGCUGCCAAGACUAUUGCAGAUAUCAUCCGAACAUGUUUGGGACCCAAGUCCAUGAUGAAGAUGCUUUUGGACCCAAUGGGAGGCAUUGUGAUGACCAAUGAUGGCAAUGCCAUUCUUCGAGAGAUUCAAGUCCAGCAUCCAGCGGCCAAGUCCAUGAUCGAAAUUAGCCGGACCCAGGAUGAAGAGGUUGGAGAUGGGACCACAUCAGUAAUUAUUCUUGCAGGGGAAAUGCUGUCUGUAGCUGAGCACUUCCUGGAGCAGCAGAUGCACCCAACAGUGGUGAUCAGUGCUUACCGCAAGGCAUUGGAUGAUAUGAUCAGCACCCUAAAGAAAAUAAGUAUCCCAGUCGACAUCAGUGACAGUGAUAUGAUGCUGAACAUCAUCAACAGCUCUAUUACUACCAAAGCCAUCAGUCGGUGGUCAUCUUUGGCUUGCAACAUUGCCCUGGAUGCUGUCAAGAUGGUACAGUUUGAGGAGAAUGGUCGGAAAGAGAUUGACAUAAAAAAAUAUGCAAGAGUGGAAAA